CGACUUUCGGGUGUCAGCGGCAGACGGGUGAGUAACGCGUGGGAACGUACCUUCUGGUUCGGAACAACCCUGGGAAACUAGGGCUAAUACCGGAUACGCCCUUAUGGGGAAAGGUUUACUGCCGGAAGAUCGGCCCGCGUCUGAUUAGCUAGUUGGUGGGGUAACGGCUCACCAAGGCGACGAUCAGUAGCUGGUCUGAGAGGAUGAUCAGCCACACUGGGACUGAGACACGGCCCAG
Molecule: ribosomal RNA, 238 nt
Filed under: uncultured bacterium
Lineage: Bacteria
Description: partial 16S ribosomal RNA
Rfam family: Bacterial small subunit ribosomal RNA
Source: RNAcentral